RNAcentral lists this ribosomal RNA (498 nucleotides) under uncultured bacterium. RNAcentral describes it as "partial 16S ribosomal RNA". It matches the Rfam family "Bacterial small subunit ribosomal RNA", at positions 30 to 523 of the family's 1533-position model. The record is from RNAcentral.
AUUGAACGCUGGCGGCAUGCCUUACACAUGCAAGUCGAACGGUAACAGGUCUUCGGAUGCUGACGAGUGGCGAACGGGUGAGUAAUACAUCGGAACGUGCCUAGUAGUGGGGGAUAACUACUCGAAAGAGUGGCUAAUACCGCAUGAGAUCUACGGAUGAAAGCAGGGGAUCGCAAGACCUUGUGCUACUAAAGCGGCCGAUGGCAGAUUAGGUAGUUGGUGGGAUAAAAGCUUACCAAGCCGACGAUCAGUAGCUGGUCUGAGAGGACGAUCAGCCACACUGGGACGGAGAAACGGCCCAGACUCCUACGGGAGGCAGCAGUGGGGAAUUUUGGACAAUGGGCGCAAGCCUGAUCCAGCAAUGCCGCGUGCAGGAUGAAGGCCUUCGGGUUGUAAACUGCUUUUGUACGGAACGAAAAGCCCCGGGUUAAUACCCUGGGGUCAUGACGGUACCGUAAGAAUAAGCACCGGCUAACUACGUGCCAGCAGCCGCCGUAA